UACGUAGGGGGUAAGCGUUGUCCGGAUUUACUGGGUGUAAAGGGCGCGUAGGCGGGCCCGUAAGUCAGAGGUGAAAUCCUACAGCUUAACUGUAGAGCUGCCUUUGAUACUGCGGGUCUUGAGUUCAGAAGAGAGAGAUGGAAUUCCAGGUGUAGUGGUGAAAUACGUAGAUAUCUGGAAGAACACCAGUGGCGAAGGCGAUCUCUUGGUCUGUAACUGACGCUGAGGCGCGAAAGCGUGGGUAGCAAAC
RNAcentral lists this ribosomal RNA (250 nucleotides) under uncultured bacterium. Its description in RNAcentral is "partial 16S ribosomal RNA". It matches the Rfam family "Bacterial small subunit ribosomal RNA", at positions 524 to 773 of the family's 1533-position model. The record is from RNAcentral.